This 373-nucleotide ribosomal RNA is filed under the name uncultured organism. Its description in RNAcentral is "partial 16S ribosomal RNA". It matches the Rfam family "Bacterial small subunit ribosomal RNA", at positions 526 to 896 of the family's 1533-position model. The record is from RNAcentral.
GGAGGGGUGCAAGCGUUGUUCGGAAUCACUGGGCGUAAAGCGCGUGCAGGCGGCUGGUUAAGUCUGGGUGUGAAAGCCCGGGGCUCACCCCCGGAAGUGCGCUGGAAACUGGCCAGCUAGAGUAUGGGAGAGGGAAGUGGAAUUCCUGGUGUAGCGGUGAAAUGCGUAGAUAUCAGGAGGAACACCGGCGGCGAAGGCGGCUUCCUGGACCAAUACUGACGCUGAGACGCGAAAGCGUGGGGAGCAAACAGGAUUAGAUACCCUGGUAGUCCACGCUGUAAACGAUGGGUACUAGGUGGCGCGGGUGUUGACCCCUGCGCUGCCGUAGCUAACGCAUUAAGUACCCCGCCUGGGGACUACGGUCGCAAGAUUA